Molecule: ribosomal RNA, 468 nt
Filed under: uncultured bacterium
Lineage: Bacteria
Description: partial 16S ribosomal RNA
Rfam family: Bacterial small subunit ribosomal RNA
Source: RNAcentral
GACGAACGCUGGCGGCGUGCUUAACACAUGCAAGUCGAACGGAAAGGCCCUGCUUUUGUGGGGUGCUCGAGUGGCGAACGGGUGAGUAACACGUGAGUAACCUGCCCUUGACUUUGGGAUAACUUCAGGAAACUGGGGCUAAUACCGGAUAGGAGCUCCUGCUGCAUGGUGGGGGUUGGAAAGUUUCGGCGGUUGGGGAUGGACUCGCGGCUUAUCGGCUUGUUGGUGGGGUAGUGGCUUACCAAGGCUUUGACGGGUAGCCGGCCUGGGAGGGUGACCGGGCACAUUGGGACUGCGAUACGGACCAGAAUCCUACGGGACGCAGCAGUGGGGAAUAUUGCGCAAUGGGCGGACGCCUGAUACAGCAACGCCGCGUGCGGGAUGACGGCCUUCGGGUUGUAAACCGCUUUCGCAUGUGACGAAGCGUGAGUGACGGUAAUGGGUAAAGAAGCACCGGCUAACUACGUG